This 253-nucleotide ribosomal RNA is filed under the name uncultured Desulfovibrio sp. RNAcentral's name for it is "partial 16S ribosomal RNA". It matches the Rfam family "Bacterial small subunit ribosomal RNA", at positions 524 to 776 of the family's 1533-position model. The record is from RNAcentral. Lineage: Bacteria; Pseudomonadati; Thermodesulfobacteriota; Desulfovibrionia; Desulfovibrionales; Desulfovibrionaceae.
UACAGAGGUCUCAAGCGUUGUUCGGAAUCACUGGGCGUAAAGCGUGCGUAGGCUGUUUCGUAAGUCGUGUGUGAAAGGCGCGGGCUCAACCCGCGGACGGCACAUGAUACUGCGCGACUUGAAUCCGGGAGAGGGUGGCGGAAUUCCAGGUGUAGGAGUGAAAUCCGUAGAUAUCUGGAGGAACAUCAGUGGCGAAGGCGGCCACCUGGACCGGUAUUGACGCUGAGGCGCGAAAGCGUGGGGAGCAAACAGG